GUACCGCCCCAAACUUCCCGGAGUUCUGGAUUGGAAAGAGGAGAGGAGAGUGAGUGAAAGCGGUGUUGUUCUGGUGGUAGCGGCAGAGGUCGGAGACCUUGUGCAGGAGUAAAGGGCGGUAAGGCCGCGAGGGGUGAGGGUCAGAAGUAGUGUCUGCAAAAGGAGACUCGGCUUCAUGAGAAAACAGGUCCAGAAAAGACUUUAAAGACUUCCCUAGCCCGGUGUCGUGGGGGAACUGCUGUGACCCCAGCGCUUCUGGGAAGCUGAGGCAGAAAGAUAAGAGAUUUCGAUUCCAGCCUCGGCAACUUAGUAACUUAGGGAGACCCUGUUUCAAAAUGCAUAACAGAGAGGAGGCUGGGGAUGUAGUGCAUAGUGAAUACCCUGGAAGGGAGGAGCGGACUUCGAGUGACUCCCCAAGAGUUGACAAGGCUUUCGUUUAUGAGAUGCGGUCUCUGCAUAGAAAGUAGCUGGAAAAAUACAUACUGCCUACCAGGGGUGCCUUUGGUGAUAGACAACUGACUACGUUAUCAAUCUGCACAAACUCAUCAACUGCAGAAGUAAAAAGUCGGGCCUUCGGAAUUGCAAUUAGGGAGACAGGGUCCGUUAGCUCUAAAUUGGUGUUUCAGAAAAUGCACUGGGAGUUUAAAUGGAAAAGCAGUAAAAUGCCUUUGUAAAAAACUAUUAAAUUUGAAAAAGAAUAGGUGCUGUAUGAUGUGUAGGUGUGUAACCAAUGGAAGGUAAAGAAAAGGAUGCAUGUACAUAGUAAAAAACGUACAUAAAACUAGAAUCUUGCAACUUUUUUUUUUUUUUUGUCUUUUUCGUUUUUAUGGGUACUGGGGUUCGAACUCACGACUGCCUGCUUGCAAGGCAGACACUUCUGCCGCUGAGCUAAAUCCCCAGCCCCUAAAUCUUGUAACUUCUUGAAAGUAUCAUGAGUCUCAGGUAUAAGAUCAUUUAUCUUCGUGCAAGAGCCUGCAGUGAAGGGGUGAAGGUACCCGUGACUUCAUCACUUUUUCAUCACUGAGACAGAAUACACAACUCAGGCAACUUAAAGGAAGAGGUUUAUUUUGGCUCAUGUUUUCAGUCCAUAGUUGACCACCCCCAAAAGUAUUUAUUAUUUAAGUCUUGCUAUCUAAUGACUUACCAACUCCAUUUUAAAGCUUAAUGUUGUUUUCAUCAUGAUUCUUCCUUUUAUUUUGCAGCCUUUAUCCUGCUAUGAGUGCUUUUUAAUAAGCAUAACAACCAGUGUUGAUCGCUGAAGCUAUACCUAACACUUCAGAGAGCAGAUCAGCUGCUCCAGUCCUUUCAGUUUCUUGAUUGGAAGGGAAAUGACUUGCUCAAAGUUUUUGUUAGCCCGAAAUAUUGCUCUUUCUCCCUCCCAUACCCAUCAAAGAUUAUUGAGGGCAAUGCAUGCUUUUGCCCUAUGCACUCUUAGAGCUUCUGGAGGUACAGUACAAGACCCACGUACAGGGCAAGAACACAGAUACUGGGGCCACCUCUACACUUGUGGCAUCAGCAAUUGCUAUGCUAGGGCACUUUCUCUUGUUUUUUUGAAAAUGAUUGCUUCUUCACAGUUGAGUUUUGGAAGGAACAGGGCUGCUUAGAAGAACAAAAGUGACUUUUUGUUUGCCAGAUAAAUCCUUUAUUUGCAAGGAAACGAUAAUCUAGGAUUGGGAAGUCUUUGGAAAAAGGUUUAUUUUCAUCUUGCUUGUUUUAAAAUCUGUGUAGCUUUUAAGCAGGUAAUACACUCAAGGGUUAGAAAGUAAAAAUCGGGACUGAGAAACUAAAUAUCAACCCCUAUUAUUAGUGGUAUGCGGUGUACCUAAUAGAAGGCCAGUGGAAAGACCAUUAGAAACAAUAUUUUUCCAAAGGCAACACCACACCUGUGUGGGUAUUGUUAUAGAUUACUUUUUAUUUUUGACUCUUGAAUUCUUUAUUUUUUGUUAUAGUUUAGAUAUGGGAUGUCUUCAAGAGCCUCCUGCAUUCCCAGGCAGUGGUUGUGGAAGGUGGGCCUGGCUGGAAGAGGUGGGCUGCUGGGGAUAUGACCUGGUAGAUUAUAUUUCCUGCCAGAAUUCCUCUCCUUAUUCUCAGACUAAAACCUUUUUCUUUUUAGUCAUUAAUGCUUUCUUACUAAUGACUUCCCCAGCCCUGCUUUUUCCUCAUAACCCUUUACAGAUUGCUAAAAUACCCAGACUUUCUCCUUGAAAUAAAAUGGAUUUGGAAAAAUAAAAAAUAAAAUAGCCAAUCCAGAGAUAUGACCUGUGUGACACAGGUGUGCUCCUGGUACUCUUUUUCCUGAAGGACUUUGACACAUGAUACAAUAUUCAAAAGGUACAAGUUUGGUGAAAAGACUUCUGCACAAUCACCCAGUCCUCAGGAGGCAAUUAGUGUUAACAUUUUCCUGAAUGUUCGCCCAGACAGUUAAUAAUCUAUAAGAAAAUUCAUACAUUAAAAUAUAUUACCAAUUGCACAAAGAGGCAAAAAUACAUAUGUAUGUGGCAUAAUAUUAAUAUGUAAAUUAACAUUCUAUAAUUUGAAUUGAAACAUUGUUUAAAAUAUAUGCAUGUUAACAUGUUAUAGAGUAAUGCACAAUAUCAUUAGUUACAGUUUGUAUCUAGAUGUCCUCCCAAAGCCUAGUGUGCUCAUAGGGUUUUUUCAGAGGUGGACAAAUCCAGAGUGUGUGAUGUGGGGAUUAAGAGUACAUGAUUAGUAAAUCAGUCCAUUGAUUGGUUUGCCAUAAUUCUGGCUAGGACUAGGGCAGGUAGCCUGUGUAAAGUGUAAGGGACAGAAAGAAUCUUGUCUCCCCCUUGCUUGCUUGCUUUUGCUGUCUUAUGGGUGCCAUGAACUCUUCUCUGUGAUGGCCCUUUGCAAGCCACCCUGCCUUGGAGCCAGCCAAUUAUGGACUGAAACCUCCACAAACUGAGCCAAAUAAGCCUCCCCGCACUGCCCCGUUUAACUUUGGGUGCUAGGUGCUAGGUGUUUUGUUUAAGCAAUGAGAAAAGUAAGACAGGAUUAUAUACAGGUACAUAUAUGUCUAAGCAAUGAGACAGGUACAUAUAUACAGGUACAUAUUUUGUCUAAGCAAUGAGAAAAGUAAGACAGGAUUAUAUACAAGUACAUAUGUAUUAUGUUGUACACACAUAUAUAUGUAUUUCCCUAUCUUUUAUAUGCAUAUAACAAAUGGAACUCUUGCUCUGUCCUUUUUACUUAAUAGAACUUGGGAACCAUCUUCAAUCAGUACAUAAAGAGCUUCUUCAUAUUUCUUCAGAGUGUCACAGGUUGAUAUCCUGGACAAAGAGAUGGCUCAUGUCCCCAAAGGAUGGAGCAGGACAACACAAGAUUUCAUCAUGGUACAGAAAGUAGCACACAGUUCUCAAUUAUGAGUUAUUUCUGCAAUUUUCUAGGUAACAAUUUUUGGGCCACAGUUGACCACAGAUAAUCAAAAUCCUGAAAAGUGAACCUACAGAUAAGGGAGGACUACUGUAUGUGGUAUAAUUAAAACUACUAAAAUAAUAAUUAGAGUUGCUGGAUCUGAGUAUGUGCCUGUGUGACUGACAGCUGUUGCAGAGUCUGCUUCUAUAGAAGUUGCUUCAACUUUUGAUCUCACCAUCGAUGUCUUUACCAUCCAUAUCCUUACCAACAACAGUGGCCGUCACAUGUUACCUUUGUCAAGUGUGUAGGAUACAAAUAGUGUCUCAGUUUUGAUGUUUGUUUUUCUUAUUAUAAGUGAGGUAGAAUAAUGUGUCACCAAGAGAUGGAGGGAGAGGGAGGGGGAAGUAAAAAGAAUUAAGAUGUGUUAUAUACAUGCAUUAAAUCUAUACAAGGAAUGCAAAUGUGCUAGUAAUAAUAAAUUUAAAAAACGUUUUUAAGAGUCA
Cavia porcellus (domestic guinea pig) is the source of this 3875-nucleotide long non-coding RNA. RefSeq lists it as uncharacterized. Lineage: Eukaryota; Metazoa; Chordata; Mammalia; Rodentia; Caviidae. The record is from RefSeq and is a predicted model, not a curated record. The transcript is spliced from 2 exons.